GACGAACGCUGGCGGCGUGCUUAACACAUGCAAGUCGAACGGAAAGGCCCUGCUUUUGUGGGGUGCUCGAGUGGCGAACGGGUGAGUAACACGUGAGUAACCUGCCCUUGACUUUGGGAUAACUUCAGGAAACUGGGGCUAAUACCGGAUAGGAGCUCCUGCUGCAUGGUGGGGGUUGGAAAGUUUCGGCGGUUGGGGAUGGACUCGCGGCUUAUCAGCUUGUUGGUGGGGUAGUGGCUUACCAAGGCUUUGACGGGUAGCCGGCCUGAGAGGGUGACCGGCCACAUGGGGACUGAGAUACGGCCCAGACUCGUACGGGAGGCAGCAGUGGGGAAUAUUGCACAAUGGGCGGAAGCCUGAUGCAGCAACGCCGCGUGCGGGAUGACGGCCUUCGGGUUGUAAACCGCUUUCGCCUGUGACGAAGCGUGAGUGACGGUAAUGGAUAAAGAAGCACCGGCUAACUACGUG
Molecule: ribosomal RNA, 468 nt
Filed under: uncultured bacterium
Lineage: Bacteria
Description: partial 16S ribosomal RNA
Rfam family: Bacterial small subunit ribosomal RNA
Source: RNAcentral